This 508-nucleotide ribosomal RNA is filed under the name uncultured bacterium. RNAcentral's name for it is "partial 16S ribosomal RNA". It matches the Rfam family "Bacterial small subunit ribosomal RNA", at positions 28 to 523 of the family's 1533-position model. The record is from RNAcentral.
GAUGAACGCUAGCUACAGGCUUAACACAUGCAAGUCGAGGGGAAACGAUAUUGGAAGCUUGCUUCCGAUAGGCGUCGACCGGCGCACGGGUGAGUAACGCGUAUCCAACCUGCCCAUCACUUGGGGAUAACCUUGCGAAAGUAAGACUAAUACCCAAUGAUAUCUCUAGAAGACAUCUGAAGGAGAUUAAAGAUUCAUCGGCGAUGGCUGGGGAUGCGUCUGAUUAGCUUGUUGGCGGGGUAACGGCCCACCAAGGCGACGAUCAGUAGGGGUUCUGCGAGGAAAGUCCCCCACAUUGGAACUGAGACACGGUCCAAACUCCUACGGGAGGCAGCAGUGAGGAAUAUUGGUCAAUGGACGAGAGUCCGAACCAGCCAAGUAGCGUGCAGGAUGACGGCCCUAUGGGUUGUAAACUGCUUUUAUAAGGGAAUAAAGUGAGUCUCGUGAGACUUUUUGCAUGUACCUUAUGAAUAAGGACCGGCUAAUUCCGUGCCAGCCGCCGCGGUAA